Parelaphostrongylus tenuis is the source of this 73-nucleotide non-coding RNA. Lineage: Eukaryota; Metazoa; Nematoda; Chromadorea; Rhabditida; Metastrongylidae. The record is from the annotation of a GenBank genome assembly.
GCGUCAGUAGUGCAACGGUUCAGCACGCGCUCCCGAUAAGAGUGAAAUCUUUGUUCAAUUCCCAGCAGACGCA